Molecule: ribosomal RNA, 253 nt
Filed under: uncultured bacterium
Lineage: Bacteria
Description: partial 16S ribosomal RNA
Rfam family: Bacterial small subunit ribosomal RNA
Source: RNAcentral
UACGGAAGGUGCGAGCGUUAAUCGGAAUUACUGGGCGUAAAGCGCGCGUAGGCGGUCGAGUAAGUCGGAUGUGAAAGCCCUGGGCUUAACCUGGGAAUUGCAUUCGAUACUGCUUGACUAGAGUAUGAUAGAGGGCAGUGGAAUUCCGGGUGUAGCGGUGAAAUGCGUAGAUAUCCGGAGGAACAUCAGUGGCGAAGGCGACUGCCUGGAUCAAUACUGACGCUGAGGUGCGAAAGCGUGGGGAGCAAACAGG